GGGGCUGACAGGUUUCGACGUCAGAUUCGAUGUUCGAGCGUGCGACCCGAGUUGCUCAGACUCGAAAAACGGGGCAACCAUACAACUGCCAAUAAGCAGUUCGCUCUCGCCGCCUAAUUUAUUAGGUGUCGGAGAGCACUCGUGAGCCGCAAGGUCGCACGGGGCCGAUCCACCGCAGCCCGGCAACAGAAGCGGGGGAUGACAGCGGGAAAGCACGCUGACGUUAGGAAAGACUGAUGACAUUUCGGAAAGACGAAACGCGACUUAGGUAACUAAGUAGUCGACCCGCCGACGGUGUUGCGUCAGCACCACAGCGGGGACGGUCGUAUCACGCGCGCUCACCGGCUGAUGGACGGGGGUUCGAUUCCCCCCAGCUCCACCA
This is a non-coding RNA of Acidimicrobium sp. BACL19 MAG-120924-bin39, 382 nucleotides long. The record is from Rfam. Lineage: Bacteria; Bacillati; Actinomycetota; Acidimicrobiia; Acidimicrobiales; Acidimicrobiaceae.